GUGCUUGCUUCGGCAGCACACAUAGUAAAAUUGGAACGAUACAGAGAAGAUUAGCAUGGUUCCCGUAAAA
Small nuclear RNA from Salvator merianae (Argentine black and white tegu), 70 nucleotides. The record is from Ensembl. Lineage: Eukaryota; Metazoa; Chordata; Lepidosauria; Squamata; Teiidae.